This 254-nucleotide ribosomal RNA is filed under the name uncultured bacterium. RNAcentral describes it as "partial 16S ribosomal RNA". It matches the Rfam family "Bacterial small subunit ribosomal RNA", at positions 524 to 776 of the family's 1533-position model. The record is from RNAcentral.
UACAGAGGUGCCGAGCGUUAGGCGGAAUCACUGGGCUUAAAGCGCGUGUAGGCGGGUCGUUAAGUGUCCGCGUGAAAUCCCACGGCUCAACCGUGGAACUGCUGGGCAUACUGCCGAUCUUGAGCCACUUAGGGGCAACCGGAACAAACGGUGGAGCGGUGAAAUGCGUAGAUAUCGUUUGGAACGCCAAUGGUGAAAACAGGUUGCUGGGAGUGUGCUGACGCUGAGACACGAAAGCCAGGGGAGCGAACGGG